This 1344-nucleotide long non-coding RNA is filed under the name Homo sapiens (human). Its description in RNAcentral is "HSALNT0376874". The record is from RNAcentral. Lineage: Eukaryota; Metazoa; Chordata; Mammalia; Primates; Hominidae.
CCUGACCUCAAGUGAUCUGCCCGCCUAGGCCUCCCAAAGUGCUGGGAUUACAGGCGUGAGCCACCACACCCAGUCACAGAUAUCUUUUGAUAUCUCAAGAACUAUGGACGGAAUUAAAGAAUUCCAAGACCAAUUAAAGAAUUUCAAGUGAGACAAUUCAUUUUCUUAUGAUCUUGGUCCUGUGUUUGGAGAGGCAAAUGUGUGUUUUAGUGAAAUGUAAAUCCAGGGAGAAGGUGCAGUAGAAGAAACUGCUCACCUGUCCUUGUAGCUAUAGCUAACCUUUAUGGAGCUCUAUCAGCUAGGCAGUAUUUACUCAUCAGUUCUGGGAGGUGAAUGCUGUUAUAAUCUCCAUUUUCCAAAUGUGACAACAGAGACACAGAGAAGUUAAGUGACUUGCCCAACAUCAAACAGCUAGUUUUACAGGACCAUGCUCCUUGUAUAAGUUGUUACACAUGGUCCCCCUAGCUUUGUGGCUCACGAUCCUGUGUGCAGAAUGCUAUUGUGGAAAGCAGGGAGAAAAUCAAGCUGCGGUAUACUGGGAGAGAAAGAACAAAGGAAAGCUCUUAAGGCGACAACAAGGACAAUGUCUCCAAGGACAGUGCAAUUUCCCAUCAGUGAGGUACUGGUCAGGCUCCCCAGCCUCAGAGGCCCAUCCAGGGUUUCUUCGCUGCCAGAGUCAUGCUGUUCAACUGCUCGUAGGGGUGCUUCAGCCCUGGAAAGGAGUCCAGGCGGUAGGGCUGCCAGAGACCUGGCUGGUCUAUCCAAAGACAAAGGAGGAUGCCAUUCCUCUGUGAGGUGGGGAGGAGCAGAUGUUUUGCCUCUAGUGAGACAAUAAUUUACUUCCCUAUUAUUGUUUGACUUUGCCUUGUUUCUGCCUAUGAAUUACUAACAGAGGCUUGCAGCACUAUCUAUGGGGCCUGAAACAUACAAUAAGGGGCCAGAAGGCCUUGAGAGAGCUGAAAAAGAAAUCAUCACCCUAGCCUCACCCAGUCACCUGUCUCCAGGCAAAAUAAUUCCCUGUCCUUCAUGAUGAUUCGGAGAAGACCAGCCCCACUCAGCUGCUGUUGCCAACCAACCAUAGUUCUUGUUACCCUGGGCCACAAGUGCCUUAUCCACUAGAUUGAGAAAGUUAAUGCCAGAGGGAAGUGAGAAACUAACUAUGGAAGAGUGGACCCAUGUUGCAAAAACAAAGUUCUAGGGAAAGACGUGAACAAAGAUGGGUGAGUAUGAAUGGGGUCUGACUGGAACAUGGCAGAGAAGAAAUUCAACUAUGCAAUGAGAUAAAGCAAAGAUUCUAAUGAAAGACUGAUGUGGUCAUAAACAAACAAACAAACAAACAAAAAA